CUUCCACUUGUGCAGGCUCAGCAUCCCUGGGGCCUCAACUCCUUAUCCAUCCUGGGUUGCUCCUCGCAGAAGCCCUUUCCUCGGGGUCCUGGCCCUCUACCUCCCAGCCCU
Non-coding RNA from Callithrix jacchus (white-tufted-ear marmoset), 111 nucleotides. The record is from Rfam. NCBI's taxonomy places the organism in Eukaryota, Metazoa, Chordata, Mammalia, Primates, Cebidae.